Molecule: long non-coding RNA, 274 nt
Filed under: Vitis vinifera (wine grape)
Lineage: Eukaryota; Viridiplantae; Streptophyta; Magnoliopsida; Vitales; Vitaceae
Description: long non-coding RNA (VVIN_LNC005702)
Source: RNAcentral
AUAAAAGUAAAACGACGGCAACCAUAAAAGCAACAAAUCUCCCCUCCCUUUUUUCCCUGGGUUUUCUGGGGGAACCAAACAAAGGAAGAGAGAGAUUACUUUCUCAAGGUCAUCUUGGAUCUCCUGCAACUUCUCGAUGGAGAGAACGAGGUCCCCAUCAAUGUGGUCUGAGUUCACUUCUUCUUCUUUCUCCGACUGCUUCAAUUUCUUGCCUUUGUCUGCCACCAUCUUCACUGCUGACGGUAAACCCUAGUUGGUUUCUCUAAAACCCUAC